RNAcentral lists this ribosomal RNA (431 nucleotides) under Priestia flexa. RNAcentral's name for it is "bacterial SSU rRNA". It matches the Rfam family "Bacterial small subunit ribosomal RNA", at positions 546 to 977 of the family's 1533-position model. The record is from RNAcentral. Lineage: Bacteria; Bacillati; Bacillota; Bacilli; Caryophanales; Bacillaceae.
CGGAUUAUUGGGCGUAAGCGCGCGCAGGCGGUUUCUUAAGUCUGAUGUGAAAGCCCACGCCUCAACCGUGGAGGGUCAUUGGAAACUGGGGAACUUGAGUGCAGAAGAGAAAAGCGGAAUUCCACGUGUAGCGGUGAAAUGCGUAGAGAUGUGGAGGAACACCAGUGGCGAAGGCGGCUUUUUGGUCUGUAACUGACGCUGAGGCGCGAAAGCGUGGGGAGCAAACAGGAUUAGAUACCCUGGUAGUCCACGCCGUAAACGAUGAGUGCUAAGUGUUAGAGGGUUUCCGCCCUUUAGUGCUGCAGCUAACGCAUUAAGCACUCCGCCUGGGGAGUACGGUCGCAAGACUGAAACUCAAAGGAAUUGACGGGGGCCCGCACAAGCGGUGGAGCAUGUGGUUUAAUUUGAAUCAACGCGAAGAACCUUACCAG